Molecule: ribosomal RNA, 642 nt
Filed under: Arthroleptis variabilis (Buea screeching frog)
Lineage: Eukaryota; Metazoa; Chordata; Amphibia; Anura; Arthroleptidae
Description: partial 16S ribosomal RNA
Rfam family: Bacterial large subunit ribosomal RNA (bases 1-457)
Source: RNAcentral
CUCCUGUCCUUUGCAUCAUGAUCUAGCUAGUCUAAACAAGCAAAUUACAACAUUUAGCUUGUACCCCCGAAACCCGACGAGCUACUUAAAAAUAGCUGUCAGAGCCAACUCAUCUCUGUUGCAAAAGAGUGAGAAAAUUUUUAAGUAGAGGUGACAUGCCUACCGAGCCAGGAGAUAGCUGGUUGCUCAAGAAAAGAACUUUAGUUCUCCCUCAAACUAUAACAUAAUAUUAAAUACACUUGAGAGUCAUUCAAAUAUGGUACAGCCUAUUUGACACCGGAUACAACCUAAAAACAAGGGUAAUGUAAACUUCCCCUCCCCCAAGUUGGCCUAAAAGCAGCCACCUUUAAAAUAGCGUUAUAGCUUAACUGAACCACUUUUAAUAAUAACUUCCUACAUACUAAACCCCACCUCAAUAUUGAGCGCUUCUAUAACUUAUAAAUGUUAUUAUGCUAGAACUAGUAACAAGAAAACCCCUUCUCCUAAAUGUAAGUAUACCUCGAAUUUGAUAUUUAUCACUAUAAAUGUAGUACCUCCCCUAGAAACCCCUACUAACUUUAUUAUUAAACUUACACAAGAACACUACAGGAAAAAUUAAAACAAAAAGAAGGAACUCGGCAAAUUUUAGUCUCGCCUGUUUAC